AUCAUUACAGAGUUACUACUCCAAACCCAUUGUGAACCUUACCUAUGUUCUGUUGCCUCGGCGGCGUGGUCAGCGCCCCCUCUGAAAAGAGGACGAUGCCCUCCCGCCGGCAGCACCAAACUCUUUGAAUUUUACAGCGGAUUACAGUUCUGAUUUGAAAACAAAAAACAAGUUAAAACUUUCAACAACGGAUCUCUUGGUUCUGGCAUCGAUGAAGAACGCAGCGAAAUGCGAUAAGUAAUGUGAAUUGCAGAAUUCAGUGAAUCAUCGAAUCUUUGAACGCACAUUGCGCCCGGCAGUAAUCUGCCGGGCAUGCCUGUCCGAGCGUCAUUUCAACCCUCGAACCUCCGUUUCCUCAGGGAAGCUCAGGGUCGGUGUUGGGGCGCUACGGCGAGUCUUCGCGACCCUCCGUAGGCCCUGAAAUACAGUGGCGGUCCCGCCGCGGUUGCCUUCUGCGUAGUAAGUCUCUUUUGCAAGCUCGCAUUGGGUCCCGGCGGAGGCCUGCCGUCAAACCACCUAUAACUCCAGAUGGUUUGACC
This 539-nucleotide ribosomal RNA is filed under the name Scedosporium boydii. RNAcentral describes it as "eukaryotic LSU rRNA". The stretch from base 177 to 330 matches the Rfam family "5.8S ribosomal RNA". Lineage: Eukaryota; Fungi; Ascomycota; Sordariomycetes; Microascales; Microascaceae. The record is from RNAcentral.